RNAcentral lists this ribosomal RNA (468 nucleotides) under uncultured bacterium. Its description in RNAcentral is "partial 16S ribosomal RNA". It matches the Rfam family "Bacterial small subunit ribosomal RNA", at positions 28 to 507 of the family's 1533-position model. The record is from RNAcentral.
GAUGAACGCUGGCGGCGUGCUUAACACAUGCAAGUCGAACGGAAAGGCCCAAGCUUGCUUGGGUACUCGAGUGGCGAACGGGUGAGUAACACGUGGGUGAUCUGCCCUGCACUUCGGGAUAAGCCUGGGAAACUGGGUCUAAUACCGGAUAGGACGAUGGUUUGGAUGCCAUUGUGGAAAGUUUUUUCGGUGUGGGAUGAGCUCGCGGCCUAUCAGCUUGUUGGUGGGGUAAUGGCCUACCAAGGCGUCGACGGGUAGCCGGCCUGAGAGGGUGUACGGCCACAUUGGGAGUGAGAGACGGCCCAGACUCCUACGGGAGGCAGCAGUGGGGAAUAUUGCACAAUGGGCGCAAGCCUGAUGCAGCGACGCCGCGUGGGGGAUGACGGCCUUCGGGUUGUAAACUCCUUUCGCUAGGGACGAAGCGUUUUUGUGACGGUACCUGGAGAAGAAGCACCGGCUAACUACGUG